Molecule: ribosomal RNA, 730 nt
Filed under: uncultured bacterium
Lineage: Bacteria
Description: bacterial SSU rRNA
Rfam family: Bacterial small subunit ribosomal RNA
Source: RNAcentral
AACAGGAUUAGAUACCCUGGUAGUCCACGCCGUAAACGAUGUCGACUUGGAGGUUGUGCCCUUGAGGCGUGGCUUCCGGAGCUAACGCGUUAAGUCGACCGCCUGGGGAGUACGGCCGCAAGGUUAAAACUCAAAUGAAUUGACGGGGGCCCGCACAAGCGGUGGAGCAUGUGGUUUAAUUCGAUGCAACGCGAAGAACCUUACCUGGUCUUGACAUCCACGGAAGUUUUCAGAGAUGAGAAUGUGCCUUCGGGAACCGUGAGACAGGUGCUGCAUGGCUGUCGUCAGCUCGUGUUGUGAAAUGUUGGGUUAAGUCCCGCAACGAGCGCAACCCUUAUCCUUUGUUGCCAGCGGUCCGGCCGGGAACUCAAAGGAGACUGCCAGUGAUAAACUGGAGGAAGGUGGGGAUGACGUCAAGUCAUCAUGGCCCUUACGACCAGGGCUACACACGUGCUACAAUGGCGCAUACAAAGAGAAGCGACCUCGCGAGAGCAAGCGGACCUCAUAAAGUGCGUCGUAGCCCGGAUUGGAGUCUGCAACUCGACUCCAUGAAGUCGGAAUCGCUAGUAAUCGUGGAUCAGAAUGCCACGGUGAAUACGUUCCCGGGCCUUGUACACACCGCCCGUCACACCAUGGGAGUGGGUUGCAAAAGAAGUAGGUAGCUUAACCUUCGGGAGGGCGCUUACCACUUUGUGAUUCAUGACUGGGGUGAAGUCGUAACAAGGUAACC